This 468-nucleotide ribosomal RNA is filed under the name uncultured bacterium. RNAcentral's name for it is "partial 16S ribosomal RNA". It matches the Rfam family "Bacterial small subunit ribosomal RNA", at positions 28 to 507 of the family's 1533-position model. The record is from RNAcentral.
GACGAACGCUGGCGGCGUGCUUAACACAUGCAAGUCGAACGGAAAGGCCCUGCUUUUGUGCGGUUCUCGUGUGCCGCGCGGGUGAGUGUCACGUGUGUAUCCUGCCCUUGUCUUUGGGAAAUCAUCAGGAAACUGAGGUUCAUAUCGGAUAGGAGCUCCUGUUGCAUGGUGGGCGUCGGUAAGUUUCGGCUGUUGGGGAUGGAUUCGCGGGUAAGCAGCUUGCUAGUGGGGUAGUGGUUUACAAAGCCCUCGGCGGGUAGCCGGCCUGAGAGGUUGACCGGCCACAUUGGGACUGAGGUACGGCACAGACGCGUACGGGAGGCAACAGUGGAGAAUAUUGCACAAUGGGCGGGAGCCUGAUGCAGCAACGCCGCGUGCGGGAUAACGGCCUUCGGGGGAAAAACCACUUUCGCCUGAAACGAAGCGUGAGUGACGGUAAUGAAUAAAAAAGCACCGGCUAACUACGUG